RNAcentral lists this ribosomal RNA (331 nucleotides) under uncultured bacterium. RNAcentral describes it as "bacterial SSU rRNA". It matches the Rfam family "Bacterial small subunit ribosomal RNA", at positions 471 to 801 of the family's 1533-position model. The record is from RNAcentral.
GACGGUACCUGAGGAAUCAGCAUCGGCUAACUCCGUGCCAGCAGCCGCGGUAAGACGGAGGAUGCAAGCGUUAUUCGGAAUUAUUGGGCGUAAAGCGUCCGUAGGUGGUUAUGCAAGUCAGUUGUUAAAGCCCACAGCUCAACCGUGGAUGGGCAAUUGAAACAGCAAGACUAGAGUGUGGUAGGGGUGGAGGGAAUUCCUAGUGUAGMGGUGAAAUUCGUAGAUAUUAGGAGGAACACCAGUGGCGAAGGCGCUUUUCUGGGCCAUAAUUGACACUGAGGGGCGAAAGCUAGGGGAGCGAAMGGGAUUAGAUACCCCGGUAGUCCUCGCC